UACAGAGGUCCCAAGCGUUGUUCGGAUUCACUGGGCGUAAAGGGUGCGCAGGUGGUCGGGUAAGUCUGAUGUGAAAUCCCGCAGCUUAACUGCGGAAUGGCAUUGGAUACUAUUCGGCUAGAGGGUUGGAGGGGGGACUGGAAUUCUCGGUGUAGCAGUGAAAUGCGUAGAUAUCGAGAGGAACACCAGUGGCGAAGGCGGUUCUCUGGGCAUGAUCUGACGCUGAGGAGCGAAAGUGUGGGGAGCGAACAGG
This 253-nucleotide ribosomal RNA is filed under the name uncultured bacterium. Its description in RNAcentral is "partial 16S ribosomal RNA". It matches the Rfam family "Bacterial small subunit ribosomal RNA", at positions 524 to 776 of the family's 1533-position model. The record is from RNAcentral.